Dendroctonus ponderosae (mountain pine beetle) is the source of this 283-nucleotide long non-coding RNA. RefSeq lists it as uncharacterized. The transcript is spliced from 3 exons. Lineage: Eukaryota; Metazoa; Arthropoda; Insecta; Coleoptera; Curculionidae. The record is from RefSeq and is a predicted model, not a curated record.
GAAAGCGGUAACAUGAAAAUUAGUUGUAAAAUACCCCAUCGGACUAAAACACAAAGACCGUGUUGGUCAUUUCGUUCGCUUUUUAUUGUAAGUUUAACAAACUUAUAAUGCAUCAGCAGACAACAAAGCACAGGCGGACUGGAAUGAAACGGUUUUUUGCCAGAUAUUAACAUCUUUAUACAAUCCGACAAUAAACUAAUUUGAUAUGCUACUCCAUCGACCCAUAAAACAACACAGUAGGCAGCGAUAAUAACUGCAUGUUAAAAUAUACUAUAAAUGAUGU